This 417-nucleotide long non-coding RNA is filed under the name Homo sapiens (human). RNAcentral describes it as "HSALNT0128703". Lineage: Eukaryota; Metazoa; Chordata; Mammalia; Primates; Hominidae. The record is from RNAcentral.
CCCACCUCCGCCUCUCCACGCUUCCUGCUUCCACCAUGAAGCCGCUGGGUUCAAAGAAGAAAAUUCGCCACAAGCACAGAAUUCUUUCAAGUCCCAGUUUUUAAAUUCAUGUGCACGCUGCCUUCUGCUCGGUAAUGUAUUCAUGUUGAUUUUAAUGUGUAAUGUUUGACACUAUUUACCAGUGAGUAAAACCGACAUGCCUGGAGGCUGUGCCCCUUUAUCCUGGAUCUUCCGGGAGGCCCUGGCAUGAGGCCUGACAGCCCCUGGGUAAAUCCAAAGGGAUGCAGACCAGAGCUAAUGCAGAGACCCCAUGGUGUCCACAAGAAACUGAGCUUCUUUCUUUUUUCUCUACUUUUGUCAGUAUUUGGCUUUUAUCUUCUUGGACCCAAUAUAUACUGGGCACAGCAUCUUUUUUUU